GGGUCAGUAGGUUGGUCGUGCCACCGGUACGUACUGGUCUCACUGAUUUCUCCUUCCUGAAGAACCGUAAUGCCAUUAAUUUGGUGUUGCGGGGAAACAGGACUGUUACUUUGAAAAAAUUAGAGUGUUUAAAGCAAGCUAACGCUUGAAUACAUUAGCAUGGAAUAAUGAAAUAGGACGAUCGAUCCUAUUUUGUUGGUUUCUAGGAUUGACGGA
This 216-nucleotide ribosomal RNA is filed under the name Glomeromycotina sp. RNAcentral describes it as "partial small subunit ribosomal RNA". The stretch from base 40 to 216 matches the Rfam family "Eukaryotic small subunit ribosomal RNA", at positions 686 to 864 of the family's 1831-position model. The record is from RNAcentral. Lineage: Eukaryota; Fungi; Glomeromycota.